AUUGAACGCUGGCGGCAGGCCUAACACAUGCAAGUCGAGCGCGAAAAUUCCUUCGGGGAUGAGUAGAGCGGCGGACGGGUGAGUAACGCGUAGGAAUCUGCCCGGUAGUGGGGGACAACAGUCGGAAACGACUGCUAAUACCGCAUACGCCCUAAGGGGGAAAGCAGGGGAUCUUCGGACCUUGCGCUAUCGGAUGAGCCUGCGUCGGAUUAGCUUGUUGGUGGGGUAAUGGCCUACCAAGGCGACGAUCCGUAGCUGGUCUGAGAGGACGAUCAGCCACACUGGGACUGAGACACGGCCCAGACUCCUACGGGAGGCAGCAGUGGGGAAUAUUGGACAAUGGGGGAAACCCUGAUCCAGCCAUGCCGCGUGUGUGAAGAAGGCC
RNAcentral lists this ribosomal RNA (385 nucleotides) under uncultured bacterium. RNAcentral's name for it is "bacterial SSU rRNA". It matches the Rfam family "Bacterial small subunit ribosomal RNA", at positions 29 to 416 of the family's 1533-position model. The record is from RNAcentral.